CCUACGGGGGGCAGCAGUGGGGAAUAUUGCACAAUGGGGGAAACCCUGAUGCAGCAACGCCGCGUGAGUGAUGACGGCCUUCGGGUUGUAAAGCUCUGUCUUCAGGGACGAUAAUGACGGUAACUGAGGAGGAAGCCACGGCUAACUACGUGCCAGCAGCCGCGGUAAUACGUAGGUGGCGAGCGUUGUCCGGAUUUACUGGGCGUAAAGGGAGCGUAGGCGGACUUUUAAGUGAGAUGUGAAAUACUCGGGCUCAACUUGAGUGCUGCAUUUCAAACUGGAAGUCUUGAGUACUGGAGAGGCAGACGGAAUUCCUAGUGUAGCGGUGAAAUGCGUAGAUAUUAGGAGGAACACCAGUGGCGAAGGCGGUCUGCUGGACAGCAACUGACGCUGAGGCGCGAAAGCGUGGGGAGCAAACAGGAUUAGAUACCCUUGUAGUC
This 440-nucleotide ribosomal RNA is filed under the name uncultured bacterium. RNAcentral describes it as "partial 16S ribosomal RNA". It matches the Rfam family "Bacterial small subunit ribosomal RNA", at positions 338 to 795 of the family's 1533-position model. The record is from RNAcentral.